UACGGAGGGGGCUAGCGUUGUUCGGAAUUACUGGGCGUAAAGCGCACGCAGGUGGUUCUGUGCGUGGGGUGUGAAAGCUCUCGGCUUAACUGAGAGAGGCCACCUCAUACGGCAGAGCUCGAGCCCGUGAGAGGUCCACGGAAUUGCCGGUGUAGUGGUGAAAUGCGUAGAGAUCCGGAAGAACACCGGAGGCGAAGGCGGCUUGCUGGGCGUGAUCUGACGCUGAGGCGCGAAAGCGUGGGGAGCGAACAGG
Molecule: ribosomal RNA, 253 nt
Filed under: uncultured bacterium
Lineage: Bacteria
Description: partial 16S ribosomal RNA
Rfam family: Bacterial small subunit ribosomal RNA
Source: RNAcentral